This 838-nucleotide ribosomal RNA is filed under the name Zasmidium cerophilum. RNAcentral describes it as "eukaryotic LSU rRNA". It matches the Rfam family "Eukaryotic large subunit ribosomal RNA", at positions 69 to 943 of the family's 3401-position model. The record is from RNAcentral. Lineage: Eukaryota; Fungi; Ascomycota; Dothideomycetes; Mycosphaerellales; Mycosphaerellaceae.
CAGGGAUUGCCCUAGUAACGGCGAGUGAAGCGGCAACAGCUCAAAUUUGAAACGUGGCGCUUGCGUCGGGAUUGUAAUUUGUAGAGGAUGCUUCUGGGCAGCGGCCGGUCUAAGUUCCUUGGAACAGGACGUCACAGAGGGUGAGAAUCCCGUAUGUGAUCGGCGCGCACCCUCCACGUAGCUCCUUCGACGAGUCGAGUUGUUUGGGAAUGCAGCUCUAAAUGGGAGGUAAAUUUCUUCUAAAGCUAAAUAUUGGCCCGAGACCGAUAGCGCACAAGUAGAGUGAUCGAAAGAUGAAAAGCACUUUGGAAAGAGAGUUAAAAAGCACGUGAAAUUGUUGAAAGGGAAGCGCUUCCCACCAGACUCCGCGGCGGUGUUCCGCCGGUCUUCUGACCGGUCUACUCGCCGCCGUGGGGCCAGCAUCGUCUGGGGCCGCCGGAUAAGACCGCAGGAAUGUAGCUCAUUGAGUGUUAUAGCCUGCGGGGAUGCGGCGCGCCCCGGGCGAGGUCCGCGCUUCGGCAAGGAUGCUGGCGUAAUGGUGGGCAGCGGCCCGUCUUGAAACACGGACCAAGGAGUCUAACAUCUAUGCGAGUGUUCGGGUGUCAAACCCCUACGCGUAAUGAAAGUGAACGGAGGUGGGAGCUUCGGCGCACCAUCGACCGAUCCUGAUGUCCUCGGAUGGAUUUGAGUAAGAGCAUAGCUGUUGGGACCCGAAAGAUGGUGAACUAUGCCUGAAUAGGGUGAAGCCAGAGGAAACUCUGGUGGAGGCUCGCAGCGGUUCUGACGUGCAAAUCGAUCGUCAAAUUUGGGCAUAGGGGCGAAAGACUAAUCGAACCAU